This 283-nucleotide long non-coding RNA is filed under the name Setaria viridis. Its description in RNAcentral is "long non-coding RNA (SVIR_LNC006086)". Lineage: Eukaryota; Viridiplantae; Streptophyta; Magnoliopsida; Poales; Poaceae. The record is from RNAcentral.
UUGGAGUUAUGGGUGGGAGGCCUUAAUAACCUCGGUUGACCUAAUUUUGUGUCAAAAUCCUAGUUUUGUGGUUCUAAUUUCACUCAAGUGUAUAUUGUUCCUUGUUGGUUCAUAUGCAACUGUCAUGCAACAUACUUCUUAAUGAUGUUACCAUACUUAUUAAUUACUUUCUCAAACUGAUGUAAUUAGCUUUCUAUGUAAAUUUGUGUUAUAUUUGAACUGAGGACCUCCCUAAUUAGACCUUUUCAAUAAGAGUUUAUGCAUUCAUCAUUUGUUCUCUGCA